GAUGAACGCUGGCGGCGUGCCUAAUACAUGCAAGUCGAGCGAACAGACGAGGAGCUUGCUCCUCUGACGUUAGCGGCGGACGGGUGAGUAACACGUGGAUAACCUACCUAUAAGACUGGGAUAACUUCGGGAAACCGGAGCUAAUACCGUAUAACAUGUUGAACCGCAUGGUUCAACAGUGAAAGACGGUCUUGCUGUCACUUAUAGAUGGUUCCGCGCCGCAUUAGCUAGUUGGUAAGGUAACGGCUUACCAAGGCAACGAUGCGUAGCCGACCUGAGAGGGUGAUCGGCCACACUGGAACUGAGACACGGUCCAGACUCCUACGGGAGGCAGCAGUAGGGAAUCUUCCGCAAUGGGCGAAAGCCUGACGGAGCAACGCCGCGUGAGUGAAGAAGGUCUUCGGAUCGUAAAACUCUGUUAUUAGGGAAGAACAAAUGUGUAAGUAACUAUGCACGUCUUGACGGUACCUAAUCAGAAAGCCACGGCUAACUACGUG
Molecule: ribosomal RNA, 497 nt
Filed under: uncultured bacterium
Lineage: Bacteria
Description: partial 16S ribosomal RNA
Rfam family: Bacterial small subunit ribosomal RNA
Source: RNAcentral